Molecule: ribosomal RNA, 548 nt
Filed under: uncultured bacterium
Lineage: Bacteria
Description: bacterial SSU rRNA
Rfam family: Archaeal small subunit ribosomal RNA
Source: RNAcentral
AAUAGAUACCCUGGUAGUCCCAGCCGUAAACGAUGCUCGCUAGGUGUCAGGCAUGGCGCAACCGUGUCUGGUGCCGCAGGGAAGCCGUGAAGCGAGCCACCUGGGAAGUACGGCCGCAAGGCUGAAACUUAAAGGAAUUGGCGGGGGAGCACAACAACGGGUGGAGCCUGCGGUUUAAUUGGACUCAACGCCGGACAACUCACCGGGGACGACAGCAAUAUGUAGGCCAGGCUAAAGACCUUGCCUGAAUCGCUGAGAGGAGGUGCAUGGCCGUCGCCAGUUCGUACUGUGAAGCAUCCUGUUAAGUCAGGCAACGAGCGAGACCCGUGCCCACUGUUACCAGCAUGUCCUCCGGGACGAUGGGUACCCUGUGGGGACCGCCGAUGUUAAAUCGGAGGAAGGUGCGGGCUACGGUAGGUCAGUAUGCCCCGAAUUUCCCGGGCUACACGCGGGCUACAAUGAAUGGGACAAUGGGUCCCUACCCCGAGAGGAGUUGGUAAUCUCCCAAACCCAUCCGUAGUUCGGAUCGAGGCUGUAACUCGCCUCGU